UUUUCUGCCACCGAAUACAUUAGCAUGGGAUAAUGGAAUAGGACCCUGUCCUCCUAUUUUCAGUUGGUUUUGGCAGCGCGAGGACUAGGGUAAUGAUUAAUAGGGAUAGUUGGGGGCAUUAAUAUUUAAUUGUCAGAGGUGAAAUUCUUGGAUUUAUGAAAGAUUAACUUCUGCGAAAGCAUCUGCCAAGGAUGUUUUCAUUAAUCAAGAACGAAAGUUAGGGGAUCGAAGACGAUCAGAUACCGUCGUAGUCUUAACCAUAAACGAUGCCGACCAGCGAUUAGGAGACGUUGAAUACAAAACACCACCAUCGGCGCGGUCGUCCUUGGCGUUCGUGUUCACGCACGAGCGCGAGGGCGGUUUAGCCCGAUGGCACCGGUGAAUGACUCCCCUAGCAGCUUGUGAGA
RNAcentral lists this ribosomal RNA (407 nucleotides) under Acanthamoeba sp. CHI2504. Its description in RNAcentral is "SSU rRNA". It matches the Rfam family "Eukaryotic small subunit ribosomal RNA", at positions 785 to 1095 of the family's 1831-position model. Lineage: Eukaryota; Discosea; Longamoebia; Acanthamoebidae. The record is from RNAcentral.